GGUCACUGCUAUUGGGAUUCGGCUAAGCCAUGCAAGCGGAGGGCGCGGUCGAAAGAUCGUGGCCCCGCACACUGCUCAGUAACACGUAGUCAACCUACCCUUGGGACAGGGACAACCUCGGGAAACUGAGGCUAAUCCCCGAUAGGUGAGGGACGCUGGAAUGCCUCCUCGCCCAAAGCUCCGGCGCCCAGGGAUGGGACUGCGGUCUAUCAGGCUGUUGGUGGUGUAACGGACCACCAAACCUACGACGGGUACGGGCGAUGGGAGUCGGAGCCCGGAGAUGGGGACUGAGACAAGGCCCCAGGCCCUACGGGGCGCAGCAGGCGCGAAAACUCCGCAAUGCGCGCAAGCGUGACGGGGGAAUCCCAAGUGCCGUUGGUCUUAUGAUCGACGGUUUUUAGGAAGUCUAAGAAGCUUCCAGAAUAAGGGCUGGGCAAGACUGGUGCCAGCCGCCGCGGUAACACCAGCAGCCCAAGUGGUGACCACGAUUAUUGGGCCUAAAGCGCUCGUAGCCGGAUCAGCAAGUCCCUUGUGAAAUCGGGCCGCCCAACGGUUCGGCGUGCAAGGGAUACUGUUGGUCUUGAGGCCGGGAGAGGUCGGAGGUACUCCUGGGGUAGCGGUGAAAUGCUCUAAUCCUAGGGGGACCACCAGUGGCGAAGGCGUCCGACCAGAACGGACCUGACGGUGAGGGGCGAAGGCUAGGGGAGCGAACGGGAUUAGAUACCCCGGUAGUCCUAGCUGUAAAGCAUGCGGGCCAGGUGUCUAGCGCUCCUUGAGGGCGCUAGGUGCCGGAGGGAAGCCGUUAAGCCCGCCGCCUGGGAAGUACGGCCGCAAGGCUGAAACUUAAAGAAAUUGGCGGGGGAGCACCACAAGAGGUGGGACCUGCGGUUC
This 891-nucleotide ribosomal RNA is filed under the name uncultured archaeon. Its description in RNAcentral is "bacterial SSU rRNA". It matches the Rfam family "Archaeal small subunit ribosomal RNA", at positions 21 to 903 of the family's 1478-position model. The record is from RNAcentral.